UUAUAUUGAAAGAGAAACUGUUGAAAAAUAUACUGAGCUUUUUGACAGGAAUUAACCCAACCCCUAAAGAAGGCCAGCAAGAAAAAAGAAUCAAGUAUGAAUUUAAAGGAAAUAAAUCUUUAUAGCGUUGCUUUUACAGCCCUGCAAAAAAAUGUAAUGUGCAUCUCAUUUGCAGACACAAGCAAUUGCCAAGUAGAUAAAGCUUUGAUUAUAAAUGUUUAGAACAGCAACGAAACAGAAUACGAUUGAGGACGGGUAUUGGCGUUUUUACGGUGCAUUGUACGUAAGGGAUGGAAGGACCAUUGAAUUAUUAAGUAUUAAUACUAUAGGGCGCAAAACUGCCAGCAAUAAUCGAGAAUGAUGGAUUUAAUUUAUGUUUAUUGGUUAAUUGGUAAUUCCCUGAUCUAGAUCGUAAUAAUUAGACCCGGGUUUGAAUCCUUUAACACCCUCUCGGGUGAAAUUAGUACGUUUCAUAAAUUUGUGUCUGAUGCAAAAGACGCGGUUUGACCACCGAUCGGGAGACAACGGAGAACCGUAAAGUUACCGACGCUGUCAGUCUCAGCUCCUAGAUUUCCAAGCUGUCGAGAGGCGUUGGAACUGAACCGACCUGAACGAAGGAAACGACUGGAUUGCAAUGUGAAAUCGAAAAUGUUUGGUGUGGCUGAAAACAUUUAAAACCAUAAUGAAGUUGAAAGUUUGAUUAAAUUAGCACAAUGUCAUAUAGACUGCGCCCUGCACCAGUAAAUGCAACAAAUGGGAAAUGUGUUCACAAUACUGACAUAAUGUUUAGUUCAAGCCUGAUACAGUUUUAAUUUUCAAUUUCGUUUGUAUCAAAUCCGUGCCAUCAGUCAUCUUGAAUCCGUAAAUAAAAUAUUAAAAUAUCACACUACGAAUAUGAGCAUAAAAUGUUUCAUACGUCUCAUAAUUUCAAGUAAAGUAUAUUUGACCUGAACUUCGUACUGAGCUUCCCCCCCCCCCCCCCAGUAAUAAUUCGCAACAAGUUGCUGAAACAAUAUCCCUUCAGGAGGGCUCUCACGCCGCGGUGGGCCGCAGCAGGUUGUGCUGAGACUUUGCAGUGGUUUUAUUGCUCUUGCUCGCUCAGACAGCCGCCUUAGAAUUUGUUUCGAUCGGACAGGCUGCACUCGAUCACCACGUUUAACCGGCUCCUUCGUGUCCCAGUGAGAACGACUCCCGAAACGCCGCACCGAGAGCGCUGGGACAAAUGGCUACUUGUUGACAAGACGCGUGUUCAUAUACAGCAGUGUUCGGGAUAACAUUUAAUUCCUCGUAUACAUGCGCACAACUUUAAUCCUAAAUCAAUGUAUAAGCAGCGUGUUGUUUAAAAUAGAAGUGAAAUUACAUUUCAUCUCAGUGCCACGGCCCUCAGACCUGAAAACGUAGAGGCCGUCACCUAAGGGUACAACGAGAGGCAGCCGUGGCUGUAGCCUUUUUUUAAACUUAUCAACACUCUUUGUUUUUGGGUUUACAAAUUAUAAAUGCAAUCAAGAUCAAUCUCGUUCAAAUGAUUAAUUGAAUUAAGGUUGUAAUUUUUUUUAAAGCAGCAAAUAUUUUCUACAAGGAUGAAUUGUUGGAUAAUCUGCGUUGGAAACGGUUUCAAAUGCCAAAGGGAAAUUGAUCGGAGUUUUCCCUUUCAAACUGAACAUGCGACCCUGAAUUAGACAAAUUAUAACAUCCUGCUCUGAGGUAUUUCUUUGACUGCCGAUUCACAAUGCAGUUCAUAAGGAGUUCUGUUUACUUCCAGAAUUUGCUUUCUCUCUCCUGGUGCAUUCUUUCUUACAAAUGCUGAGUUUUGAUGCAAUGCAAGAGUUUUGAGGAAAAUGAAGGCGUUGGGAACUUUACUUUAGAAAUCUAGUUUUCUCUCUGGCAACAGAUUGCUUUAAUUUGUUAUCGAAAAGAUGUUCAUGGUUUAUAAAAACAAUGACCACGUUUUCUUCCUAUAAAUGAUCACGGCAAAUUUUGCUCAGAAUAACUUACUCACCUUGGCUAACUUUGGACCUAGAUGUUAAAAACUACAAAUUUGUUCAUAACUACAAAUUCGAGCAAGCGACUACAAUAUAAUAUAAGAAACUGCAAUAUUUUGUUAGUUUAUUUUUCAUCUGAAAUCAAAAUAUUUUACAAUCUUUUCAGAAGGUAAUAAUAGGUUUGAGUUGGUUUAUAGGUGAAGUGGAGACCCUGUGACGUGUAUAUUUACAUAUAAAGUCUUCAUAUAUAACUCUGAGUAUCAAAUUGUUUAGGAUUUCCAUACAAGAAAGUCCCCGGAAUAAAAAAAUACAUAAAUGCACUAUAACUAACAGAGAAUCAAUGAGAGUAGAAGCAGGUCAGUGACAUUUGCGGUUAAAUCAAUAUUUUUGUGUACACGGCCCAUUUCUGCACAGGAGGGACCGAGUGUUUCAUUGACACUAAAAUGGUCUCACAGUGGAACUGCUGCACGAAGAAUUGGGGAAGUCCUCCGCCGAGGAGGGAAAUAAACGUGUGUUUCAGAAAAGAGAAACCGUCUUGUGCUGAAAGCAACAGCCAUUCAUUCUAAAGGUCGUUGUUCGAUUCGAGGUCAAGCGGAUUAAAAUUUAAAUGUAUUGUCUGUCCCGAGAAUUUUUAUCCUCCGCGCGCUAAACUAACGCUUCUUAAGUGGAUGGGAUAUGCGACAGGCAUAUGUCCCAAGAUUACGACUGGGCUCCAGAGCUCUGAAGACUGCAGCGUGCCUUUUGGGCUCUCGAGAGGAGGUUUAUGCCGCUCCAUCUCAGUGCAUGUUUUGCCACCCGACGUCUAUAUUUAAGCUUGAAGGCUGCUUUCGUUCAGGGUCCACAAGACAUCCCAACCCCGGCACAUUUCGGAUCCCUUCCAAUCUUCCCCACCCAACUACCUGUGGAGAGCGCGAAAUACAGAAAUCUGGCCGCCGUGGCGCCUUCCUCUGUCUGUUCUAGACCGUGUAACAGAAAUACGCCCCAAACGAGUAAAUUCAAUCACCUUGUUCGAUUAUGGUCCAAAAAGAAAAAUGCAGUCGAAUGAAAUAAAAUAGUACCCUUAAAUAAAAAUAGUUGUAUUUUCGUCAGCACUGGAUGCCAAACAAAACAACUGACAAGCAAAGGAUUGCUACUGGAAAUACUUGAGAUCUGUUUUGUUUUUUGUUUUUCGCUGUUAUGCUAGCGAUCCGGACAGAACAUUCGCAACUUGGCAAUACCUUGUGUAAACUUUACAUCGAUCAAUUCCGCGGGGAGUUUGCCAAAACGACGCACAGGAAAAGUGACAGGAGAAUGAAGGCGCAACGAAAAUAAAUUCUAUCAAUGUUUCUCAAAUGCCUGCCAUUUUCCACAGAAUUUGCCCUUUUUUUGAUAAUUCGGCUGAACAAAGUGGAGACUUUGCCUUUAAACUAAGUUUUGACCCCUUGAUGAAUAAUGCAGUUGCAGCAUAUGUGAUCAAUCUCCAGCGAGGAGAGACCCUGAAUGGAGCCCAUUGUCACGGCAAAAGUUAUCACUCUCGACAAUCUUGUAACUUUCCAAGAUAGCCCCACAACGUGUGCUGGAGAGUUGAGGGCGCUCUGUACACAGAAUGGACGAAUUUAUCAAGUUUUCCAAAGCGCAUCUACAGCAACUUCAUCUUAAAUAAAUAAAAAGUUCGUGAAAUUGAUUAAAGUCUGUUUGUAAAUGCAAGUUCCACAUACAAUGCAUCGGUCUAAAUAACGAGGUAAUUUAUCCUUAUUCCGUCAGUCGAUGAUUUAUCAACAUAGCAAUUAUUUUAUGAAGAGGAUCGAAAUAUAAUCGCUUAAAGUGAGUGCCAUAAUGAAACAGUUGUUCAAUUAGGGAGGAGUUCGUGGGUUAAUUUUGCAAAUAGACGCCAGAAUUCCAGCUUUAACCUCAUUAUUACCGAUUGAUUGAAUUAGUUUAUUGAAGGACUUCUCACUGUCUGCUGGACAUUUGCUGGGACGGAGAUGAGCCCAAUCCAGAUCGGGGAGCCAGAACAGAAUUAAUUCGUACAGAGGCGGAAAGCCCUGCCGUUAUAGAAGCGUCAAAUGACAUUGGAAUCGCAGACUAUUACACAUGAAUGCUUGAGACUUCUGAUUAUUUUGUUUUGAAUGAACAAGUCAGCGCAUUUUAAGUUUUAAUUGUUGAACAUGGUGUUUUUGAAAUCAUACACGGGUGGAUAAAGAACUGCUUUUAACGUAGAAUUUUAAUCCGUAAUAUAAUGGUCUAAAGCAGGAGUUAUUAACCUGGGGUCCACAGGGCUCUGUUGAUAAGAUUCCAGAGGGUCCAAAUCUUCUUAUUUAACGCUUUAAUAAAGAAGCACAUACA
Molecule: long non-coding RNA, 4307 nt
Organism: Hypanus sabinus (Atlantic stingray)
Lineage: Eukaryota; Metazoa; Chordata; Chondrichthyes; Myliobatiformes; Dasyatidae
Exons: 2
Source: RefSeq, a predicted model, not a curated record